Molecule: ribosomal RNA, 205 nt
Filed under: uncultured bacterium
Lineage: Bacteria
Description: partial 16S ribosomal RNA
Rfam family: Bacterial small subunit ribosomal RNA
Source: RNAcentral
CGCGUGGGAACAUACCCUUUUCUAAGGAAUAGCCACGUGGAAACGGUGAGUAAUACCUUAUACGCCCUUCGGGGGAAAGAUUUAUCGGUGAAGGAUUGGCCCGCGUUAGAUUAGUUAGGUUGGUGGGGUAACGGCCUACCAAGGCGACGAUCUAUAGCUGGUUUGAGAGGAUGAUCAGCAACACUGGGACUGAGACACGGCCCAG